GACGAACGCUGGCGGCGUGCCUAAUACAUGCAAGUAGAACGCACAGUUUAUACCGUAGCUUGCUACACCAUACACUGUGAGUUGCGAACGGGUGAGUAACGCGUAGGUAACCUGCCUGGUAGCGGGGGAUAACUAUUGGAAACGAUAGCUAAUACCGCAUAAUAUUAAUUAUUGCAUGAUAAUUGAUUGAAAGAUGCAAUUGCAUCACUACCAGAUGGACCUGCGUUGUAUUAGCUAGUAGGUGAGGUAACGGCUCACCUAGGCGACGAUACAUAGCCGACCUGGGAGGGUGGUCGGCCACACUGGGACUGAGACACGGCCCAGACUCCUACGGGAAGCAGCAGGAGGGAAUCUUCGGCAAUGGACGAAAGUCUGACCGAGCAACGCCGCGGGAGUGAAGAAGGGUUUCGGAUCGUAAAGCUCUGUUGUGAGAGAAGAACGGGUGUGAGAGUGGAAAGUUCACACUGUGACGGUAUCUUACCAGAAAGGGACGGCUAACUACGUG
This 505-nucleotide ribosomal RNA is filed under the name uncultured bacterium. RNAcentral describes it as "partial 16S ribosomal RNA". It matches the Rfam family "Bacterial small subunit ribosomal RNA", at positions 28 to 507 of the family's 1533-position model. The record is from RNAcentral.